This 724-nucleotide ribosomal RNA is filed under the name Escherichia coli. RNAcentral describes it as "bacterial SSU rRNA". It matches the Rfam family "Bacterial small subunit ribosomal RNA", at positions 819 to 1533 of the family's 1533-position model. Lineage: Bacteria; Pseudomonadati; Pseudomonadota; Gammaproteobacteria; Enterobacterales; Enterobacteriaceae. The record is from RNAcentral.
GGAGGUUGUGCCCUUGAGGCGUGGCUUCCGGAGCUAACGCGUUAAGUCGACCGCCUGGGGAGUACGGCCGCAAGGUUAAAACUCAAAUGAAUUGACGGGGGCCCGCACAAGCGGUGGAGCAUGUGGUUUAAUUCGAUGCAACGCGAAGAACCUUACCUGGUCUUGACAUCCACAGAACUUUCCAGAGAUGGAUUGGUGCCUUCGGGAACUGUGAGACAGGUGCUGCAUGGCUGUCGUCAGCUCGUGUUGUGAAAUGUUGGGUUAAGUCCCGCAACGAGCGCAACCCUUAUCCUUUGUUGCCAGCGGUCCGGCCGGGAACUCAAAGGAGACUGCCAGUGAUAAACUGGAGGAAGGUGGGGAUGACGUCAAGUCAUCAUGGCCCUUACGACCAGGGCUACACACGUGCUACAAUGGCGCAUACAAAGAGAAGCGACCUCGCGAGAGCAAGCGGACCUCAUAAAGUGCGUCGUAGUCCGGAUUGGAGUCUGCAACUCGACUCCAUGAAGUCGGAAUCGCUAGUAAUCGUGGAUCAGAAUGCCACGGUGAAUACGUUCCCGGGCCUUGUACACACCGCCCGUCACACCAUGGGAGUGGGUUGCAAAAGAAGUAGGUAGCUUAACCUUAGGGAGGGCGCUUACCACUUUGUGAUUCAUGACUGGGGUGAAGUCGUAACAAGGUAACCGUAGGGGAACCUGCGGUUGGAUCACCUCCUUACCUUAAAGAA